RNAcentral lists this ribosomal RNA (1671 nucleotides) under Bacillus cereus AND1407. RNAcentral describes it as "bacterial LSU rRNA". It matches the Rfam family "Bacterial large subunit ribosomal RNA", at positions 1248 to 2925 of the family's 2925-position model. The record is from RNAcentral. Lineage: Bacteria; Bacillati; Bacillota; Bacilli; Caryophanales; Bacillaceae.
CAGUGAAGUCAGACCGGAAGGACUGGUGGAGUGCUUAGAAGUGAGAAUGCCGGUAUGAGUAGCGAAAGACGGGUGAGAAUCCCGUCCACCGAAUGCCUAAGGUUUCCUGAGGAAGGCUCGUCCGCUCAGGGUUAGUCAGGACCUAAGCCGAGGCCGACAGGCGUAGGCGAUGGACAACAGGUUGAUAUUCCUGUACCACCUCUUUAUCGUUUGAGCAAUGGAGGGACGCAGAAGGAUAGAAGAAGCGUGCGAUUGGUUGUGCACGUCCAAGCAGUUAGGCUGAUAAGUAGGCAAAUCCGCUUAUCGUAAAGGCUGAGCUGUGAUGGGGAAGCUUCUUAUGGAGCGAAGUCUUUGAUUCCCCGCUGCCAAGAAAAGCUUCUAGCGAGAUAAAAGGUGCCUGUACCGCAAACCGACACAGGUAGGCGAGGAGAGAAUCCUAAGGUGUGCGAGAGAACUCUGGUUAAGGAACUCGGCAAAAUGACCCCGUAACUUCGGGAGAAGGGGUGCUUUCUUAACGGAAAGCCGCAGUGAAUAGGCCCAAGCGACUGUUUAGCAAAAACACAGCUCUCUGCGAAGCCGUAAGGCGAAGUAUAGGGGGUGACACCUGCCCGGUGCUGGAAGGUUAAGGAGAGGGGUUAGCGUAAGCGAAGCUCUGAACUGAAGCCCCAGUAAACGGCGGCCGUAACUAUAACGGUCCUAAGGUAGCGAAAUUCCUUGUCGGGUAAGUUCCGACCCGCACGAAAGGUGUAACGAUUUGGGCACUGUCUCAACCAGAGACUCGGUGAAAUUAUAGUACCUGUGAAGAUGCAGGUUACCCGCGACAGGACGGAAAGACCCCGUGGAGCUUUACUGUAGCCUGAUAUUGAAUUUUGGUACAGUUUGUACAGGAUAGGCGGGAGCCUUUGAAACCGGAGCGCUAGCUUCGGUGGAGGCGCUGGUGGGAUACCGCCCUGACUGUAUUGAAAUUCUAACCUACGGGUCUUAUCGACCCGGGAGACAGUGUCAGGUGGGCAGUUUGACUGGGGCGGUCGCCUCCUAAAGUGUAACGGAGGCGCCCAAAGGUUCCCUCAGAAUGGUUGGAAAUCAUUCGUAGAGUGCAAAGGCAUAAGGGAGCUUGACUGCGAGACCUACAAGUCGAGCAGGGACGAAAGUCGGGCUUAGUGAUCCGGUGGUUCCGCAUGGAAGGGCCAUCGCUCAACGGAUAAAAGCUACCCCGGGGAUAACAGGCUUAUCUCCCCCAAGAGUCCACAUCGACGGGGAGGUUUGGCACCUCGAUGUCGGCUCAUCGCAUCCUGGGGCUGUAGUCGGUCCCAAGGGUUGGGCUGUUCGCCCAUUAAAGCGGUACGCGAGCUGGGUUCAGAACGUCGUGAGACAGUUCGGUCCCUAUCCGUCGUGGGCGUAGGAAAUUUGAGAGGAGCUGUCCUUAGUACGAGAGGACCGGGAUGGACGCACCGCUGGUGUACCAGUUGUUCUGCCAAGGGCAUAGCUGGGUAGCUAUGUGCGGAAGGGAUAAGUGCUGAAAGCAUCUAAGCAUGAAGCCCCCCUCAAGAUGAGAUUUCCCAUAGCGUAAGCUAGUAAGAUCCCUGAAAGAUGAUCAGGUUGAUAGGUUCGAGGUGGAAGCAUGGUGACAUGUGGAGCUGACGAAUACUAAUAGAUCGAGGACUUAACCAU